GAUGGAAACUUCUACACUGUCAGGGUUGUCUAGACAGAGGUGGGGCCGUCAGGAGAGAGGCGCACCUGUCAGUAGGGAGGGGGCGGAGGCAUUUCGUGUAUCUUCCUCAACUGGCCGCCCUCUGUGAAGACUGGAAUUUCAGGUUUGAUGCUCACAACAACCACAACAGCAUACUGUGGCAAUUAUGAUCCGCAUUUCAUAGAUGAGCAAACGGACGGACACCCAGGGGUUUAAAGUAGCCUGUCCAAUGCCUCACAGAGAAGGUCCUAGAAACCAGGUCUCCUACUGUCCCGCUUUGUGUUCUUUCUACCACCCAAAUGGCAACUUCAGUUGUAUUUCUCCUGUGGCUCUCACCAACCCGACCAGCCAAACCCUUCCAGUCAAAUCCCAGAUAAAAGGAACACUGCUCCUUCUCAUAUACCAUGGAUGGAAGGGUACAUUGGCAUAGCCUUUUUACUUAAAAGGGCAAGCUGGCAACACCUAGGAAAUUUAAAAUGGCAUGUGCCACUUGACCAAGCGAUUUCAGCUCAAGGAAUUUGAUUAUGGAUACAUUCACAAAAACAUGCGAAGAUA
Long non-coding RNA from Neofelis nebulosa (Clouded leopard), 573 nucleotides. RefSeq lists it as uncharacterized. The transcript has 2 exons. NCBI's taxonomy places the organism in Eukaryota, Metazoa, Chordata, Mammalia, Carnivora, Felidae. The record is from RefSeq and is a predicted model, not a curated record.